GCGAGAGCUGGGGGGGGAGCUGGGGAUCCAGUGCUGCCUUGGAUGUGAGGCCCCCCCCAAAGCUCUUUUAGGAGACACUAUUUGUGCUGCUAAACUACCCGUGUCAGGGGUGUUUAUCCCCUCCAGGCCCUGCAGUUAGGCCAGCUCCUGCUCCUGACUGUGAGUGCAGAGCCCUCUGCGCAGGCUGCACCCCGGUGCUGUGGCAGGGUAAAACCACAUACUUGUCUGGAGCUCAGGAAUGUAACACGCUAGGGCCUAAGGGAUUUCACAUUUCUACUCCCUGCCGAGUGCCUCAGCACCUUCCAAGCGCCUGCUGUGCUCCAGACACACCUAAGCUCUGCUAAUCCAUCUGUACUCGGGAAUCGCUGCACAGCUCUGGCCACUGCUGCAUCUAGGAACUGGGCUCCAGUUCCCCACCCCUCAUUCCUCUACCUGCUUCCCACAGGGUGGGUCUCCUGCAAAAUCCUCUCCAGUUUCUCCACACAUUGUCGUUCCCAGCUCUGGAAGAGGAGCCUGGAGCUGAUGACAAGGGUUUGUGAGGAUUCUGCCAAGGGAUAUUUUGUCUGGGCUGCCCCUCCUUCAAUUCUGGUUUGGUUUUGUCAUUUUUUUGGGGGGGAUUGGUGGUUGUUUGCAAUUUUCCAAAUUAUUUUUCUAAACUUAUUAUUUGUAACUUUCUGAAAAAGAACAUUUUUAACAAACACCAGCUGAAUCUGCACUGCCUGCCUUGUUGAGGGUACAGUGAGCUGGGACCACAUUACCCCAUCCCUGCUCUUAGUUCCAGCAACAAUUAAAAAAAAUCCAGUUAUAAACCACUUGUUUUAACAUUUGAAACAAAUCUUUUCCCAUCCAUGCUCUCUCUCCAGUUCAGUGUGAUCAGCUGAAAACAAACCGUACCAAAAAAUGAAGGGAUUGAUUUCCAUCUGUCAGGUCCUCACCUGCCAGGCUGCCCAAACCCUCGGAAGGGAGAGCCCGUGGGACACACGGAGGGUGAGUGCAGCCAGAAGGGGCCCUUUCUGUCACAGCAAGCUUUAGUCAGCUUCAGCCACCCACGAGUACACCCUCACUUCACUCUCAUCUUUCCUGGAAAGGCUCUGGCCCCUUCCAGCCUGUCCCCUCGCUCCUGGCCCUCAGCAGUGCCAGCUGCUCCCUCUCCUGGCCUGCCUCAGUUCCCCUUCCCCCUUGCAUACAUCCUCCCCGUGCUGUUGCUGUGAUUCAUUAACGCCCCAGAGACACCGGUCUGAGUGGAAAAAACCCAAGCAAGCACCAGGUUGUGCCGCUCUGUACAUUUUCUAUAGUGACUCACAGGCCUGACCAGCUCUACGUGUGAGCUUGAGGAUGGGAAGUUCUCCCUCGCUGACCCGUGGCACACAAUGAAGAGCAAAGGAAAACACUGACUGCAGCAACUUUGCCUGUGGAGGGACCACAGAGCAGAGCUGCCCCCCUUUCCCCCUGUGGGCCACGCACAAAUUACUUUGUCAUUGUGGAGAAACAAAUAAGGCUUCGUUCUCAUUACCAUCCUGAUGGGAGUAAACAAGUUUAUUUACACUUGAGCACUGCUGAAGAAUAAAGUCAUAGAGAAAAGU
Passer domesticus (house sparrow) is the source of this 1583-nucleotide long non-coding RNA. RefSeq lists it as uncharacterized. The record is from RefSeq and is a predicted model, not a curated record. The transcript is spliced from 2 exons. NCBI's taxonomy places the organism in Eukaryota, Metazoa, Chordata, Aves, Passeriformes, Passeridae.